AGUGAACGCUGGCGGUAGGCCUAACACAUGCAAGUCGAACGGCAGCACAGGAGAGCUUGCUCUCUAGGUGGCGAGUGGCGGACGGGUGAGGAAUACAUCGGAAUCUGCCCAGUCGUGGGGGAUAGCGUAGGGAAACUUACGCUAAUACCGCAUACGACCUUCGGGUGAAAGAGGGGGAUCGCAAGACCUCUCGCGAUUGGAUGAGCCGAUGUCGGAUUAGCUAGUUAGCGGGGUAAUGGCCCACCAAGGCGACGAUCCGUAGCUGGUCUGAGAGGAUGAUCAGCCACACUGGAACUGAGACACGGUCCAGACUCCUACGGGAGGCAGCAGUGGGGAAUAUUGGACAAUGGGCGCAAGCCUGAUCCAGCCAUACCGCGUGGGUGAAGAAGGCCUUCGGGUUGUAAAGCCCUUUUGUUGGGAAAGAAAUCUUUCAGGCUAAUACCCUGGGAGGAUGACGGUACCCAAAGAAUAAGCACCGGCUAACUUCGUG
Molecule: ribosomal RNA, 490 nt
Filed under: uncultured bacterium
Lineage: Bacteria
Description: partial 16S ribosomal RNA
Rfam family: Bacterial small subunit ribosomal RNA
Source: RNAcentral